RNAcentral lists this ribosomal RNA (31 nucleotides) under Daldinia cf. pyrenaica MUCL 47221. RNAcentral's name for it is "partial 28S ribosomal RNA". RNAcentral also lists the same sequence under 1 other name. The record is from RNAcentral. Lineage: Eukaryota; Fungi; Ascomycota; Sordariomycetes; Xylariales; Hypoxylaceae.
GGUUGACCUCGGAUUAGGUAGGAAUACCCGU